CAAUAGCGUAUAUUUAAGUUGUUGCAGUUAAAAAGCUCGUAGUUGGAUUUCGGAUGGGAUCUGCCGGUCCGCCUUUGAGAUGUGUACUGGUAGGUCCUAUCUUGUUGUCGGGGACCAGCUCCUGGGCUUCACUGUCCGGGACUGGGAGCCGACGAAGUUACUUUGAGUAAAUUAGAGUGUUCAAAGCAAGCCUACGCUCUGAAUAUAUUAGCAUGGAAUAACACGAUAGGACUCUGGCUUAUCUUGUUGGUCUGUGAGACCAGAGUAAUGAUUAAGAGGGACAGUCGGGGACAUUCGUAUUUCAUUGUCAGAGGUGAAAUUCUUGGAUUUAUGAAAGACGAACUUCUGCGAAAGCAUUUGUCAAGGAUGUUUNCAUUAA
Molecule: ribosomal RNA, 379 nt
Filed under: uncultured eukaryote
Lineage: Eukaryota
Description: partial 18S ribosomal RNA
Rfam family: Eukaryotic small subunit ribosomal RNA
Source: RNAcentral